AUGAAAAUGUUGAGUCGAAACUAUCGAGGCUUGGGUCAGCCUCGUACAGUUCAAGAGUUGGUGUGCCUCUCUAAGAUGCACAGACCCAAUGUUACCUUUUUAUCUGAAACAAGGAAAAAUAAAGAGUAUGUUGAGAGUUUGCGCUACAGGUUGGAUAUGAAUAAUGUGUUUACUGUUUCUGGCCAUGGUAAAGGUGGAGGACUAGCUGUGUUUUGGGAUGAGGCCUACUCUUGUGAGCUGAAAAAAUAUGGGGAUCAUUUUAUUGAUAUGUAUGUCGGCAAGGGAGAUGGAACAAAGUGGAGGUGCACUUUCAUUUACGGUGAGCCUAAGGCGAGCCAAAGGUACGUUAUGUGGGAUCUCUUGAGAUGGUUAAAACCUCUUGGUGUAGGAGCUUGGUUUAUGGUGGGAGAUUUUAACGAAGCUAUAUAUGGCAAAAUGAGCAUUUUUCUCGCCACAAGAGGUCUACUAGGCUUAUGGCUAAUUUUAUAG
RNAcentral lists this ribosomal RNA (489 nucleotides) under Triticum aestivum (bread wheat). RNAcentral's name for it is "partial small subunit ribosomal RNA". Lineage: Eukaryota; Viridiplantae; Streptophyta; Magnoliopsida; Poales; Poaceae. The record is from RNAcentral.